GACGAACGCUGGCGGCGUGCCUAAUACAUGCAAGUAGAACGCUGAAGAGAGGAGCUUGCUCUUCUUGGAUGAGUUGCGAACGGGUGAGUAACGCGUAGGUAACCUGCCUUGUAGCGGGGGAUAACUAUUGGAAACGAUAGCUAAUACCGCAUAACAAUGGAUGACCCAUGUCAUUUAUUUGAAAGGGGCAAAUGCUCCACUACAAGAUGGACCUGCGUUGUAUUAGCUAGUAGGUGAGGUAACGGCUCACCUAGGCGACGAUACAUAGCCGACCUGAGAGGGUGAUCGGCCACACUGGGACUGAGACACGGCCCAGACUCCUACGGGAGGCAGCAGUAGGGAAUCUUCGGCAUUGGGGGCAACCCUGGCCGAGCAACGCCGCGUGAGUGAAGAAGGUUUUCGGAUCGUAAAGCUCUGUUGUAAGUCAAGAACGAGUGUGAGAGUGGAAAGUUCACACUGUGACGGUAGCUUACCAGAAAGGGACGGCUAACUACGUG
RNAcentral lists this ribosomal RNA (497 nucleotides) under uncultured bacterium. RNAcentral's name for it is "partial 16S ribosomal RNA". It matches the Rfam family "Bacterial small subunit ribosomal RNA", at positions 28 to 507 of the family's 1533-position model. The record is from RNAcentral.